This 729-nucleotide ribosomal RNA is filed under the name Triticum aestivum (bread wheat). RNAcentral's name for it is "partial small subunit ribosomal RNA". The record is from RNAcentral. Lineage: Eukaryota; Viridiplantae; Streptophyta; Magnoliopsida; Poales; Poaceae.
GGAUAGAACAUAGGCGGUACACGGGUGCAGGACGGUAGGGUGGGGAAAGGGAGACUUUGGAGGGUCAGGGUGCGGCGUAGAAGAGAAGAGGGUUCAGGGUUGUUGAAGAAGCGGCGACAGCGGGCAACUAGGCCGACGCGUGGAGUGGGAGCAGCGAGAGGGACCGGGUCGUUGUAGUGGGUGAGGGACGAGAAGGAGGGCUGCGCCUUCACAGGAAAGCUCAGAGCAGAGGCAGAAGCACCAGGAGUCCAGACCGUCGGAGGCUGGUGUUGCGACGGCCUAGAUUGGUUGGUUAUCCGCGAGCUGCGGCGAGGAGUCCUGGCGCAGCCAGAAGAAACGGACGAGAGAGAGAGGGAGUUGGAGGGUGCCGUACAUAACCGGGGAAGACUUUGAGGAGUAGGCUCACCGGUGGACUACGGCGGCACAUCUUGUGCGAGUGAGGACGGAACCGGGCGGACAUGGUCCUAAACGAGGACACCAAGUUCAACUUAUGGCCCCUCUACCUCUACCACUGUACCGAUCGAAGACACCACCACUCCAAGUUCAAGAUGUUGCUCCACCGGCAACCCGGAUAGACUUCUCGUUGUUACAUUGCGAAAACUCGAAUCCAUGUUCUUCAGCAUAAACUUUCCCCUGCUCUACUACAAGUAGUUUUACUUUGACUGUGUAAAUCAAUACGCGGUUAAAUAAAGAUCUGUUGUACUCGUACCUCUUUGUAUAUACACUUUC